This 599-nucleotide ribosomal RNA is filed under the name Klebsiella pneumoniae. RNAcentral describes it as "bacterial SSU rRNA". It matches the Rfam family "Bacterial small subunit ribosomal RNA", at positions 75 to 672 of the family's 1533-position model. Lineage: Bacteria; Pseudomonadati; Pseudomonadota; Gammaproteobacteria; Enterobacterales; Enterobacteriaceae. The record is from RNAcentral.
CUUGCUCUCGGGUGACGAGCGGCGGACGGGUGAGUAAUGUCUGGGAAACUGCCUGAUGGAGGGGGAUAACUACUGGAAACGGUAGCUAAUACCGCAUAACGUCGCAAGACCAAAGUGGGGGACCUUCGGGCCUCAUGCCAUCAGAUGUGCCCAGAUGGGAUUAGCUAGUAGGUGGGGUAACGGCUCACCUAGGCGACGAUCCCUAGCUGGUCUGAGAGGAUGACCAGCCACACUGGAACUGAGACACGGUCCAGACUCCUACGGGAGGCAGCAGUGGGGAAUAUUGCACAAUGGGCGCAAGCCUGAUGCAGCCAUGCCGCGUGUGUGAAGAAGGCCUUCGGGUUGUAAAGCACUUUCAGCGGGGAGGAAGGCGGUGAGGUUAAUAACCUUGUCGAUUGACGUUACCCGCAGAAGAAGCACCGGCUAACUCCGUGCCAGCAGCCGCGGUAAUACGGAGGGUGCAAGCGUUAAUCGGAAUUACUGGGCGUAAAGCGCACGCAGGCGGUCUGUCAAGUCGGAUGUGAAAUCCCCGGGCUCAACCUGGGAACUGCAUUCGAAACUGGCAGGCUAGAGUCUUGUAGAGGGGGGUAGAAUUCCAG